AAAGUAAACAUCAAAGGUAUCAUCAUGAAGACUGCCUGCCUAGUUGCUCUCCUGAUUACUUGCGUUGUCAUGGUUACCAUGCCAGAAACUGAAGCCCAACGUUACCUUCCACCCGACCGUUGCCAUUGCAGUGGUGGACCGUGUCGUUACGGAACCAGUGACUCCAGUCCGUGUCCAUACAACUCAUAUCUGAGGAAUUGCUGUAGAAAUUAUUGAGGACCAUUUAAGGACACCAGACCACAUUGACAUUCAUAUGUUCUGGUUAGGUUGAAUCAAUAAAACAGCGAAAUUGUU
Dreissena polymorpha is the source of this 294-nucleotide long non-coding RNA. RefSeq lists it as uncharacterized. The transcript has 3 exons. The record is from RefSeq and is a predicted model, not a curated record. Lineage: Eukaryota; Metazoa; Mollusca; Bivalvia; Myida; Dreissenidae.